Molecule: ribosomal RNA, 67 nt
Filed under: uncultured Pleosporales
Lineage: Eukaryota; Fungi; Ascomycota; Dothideomycetes; Pleosporales
Also listed under: 2 other names
Description: partial 5.8S ribosomal RNA
Rfam family: 5.8S ribosomal RNA
About the family: 5.8S ribosomal RNA (5.8S rRNA) is a component of the large subunit of the eukaryotic ribosome. It is transcribed by RNA polymerase I as part of the 45S precursor that also contains 18S and 28S rRNA. Functionally, it is thought that 5.8S rRNA may be involved in ribosome translocation.
Source: RNAcentral
CGAAAUGCGAUAAGUAGUGUGAAUUGCAGAAUUCAGUGAAUCAUCGAAUCUUUGAACGCACAUUGCG